Molecule: non-coding RNA, 504 nt
Organism: Peromyscus maniculatus bairdii (prairie deer mouse)
Lineage: Eukaryota; Metazoa; Chordata; Mammalia; Rodentia; Cricetidae
Source: RefSeq, a predicted model, not a curated record
AUCCGUAACUCAUAAUGACGUACAGGAAAAUUGGGUACUGGUAAUUGCAGUCCUCCAUGAAGAAGAUCUGGCCUAUGUGGAUGGUGACAAGGAUAAACUGGACCUGGGAGAUGGGAGAAUGAAAAGAAAAUUAGAAUGAAUUCUGAGGAAUUAUCUGAUCUUAACUCAAGGACUUACUCUUCACACCUGUAACCCUCACAGCACUCUUUACUUAUGAGAAGAAAGACAAACUGACCAACAUUGGCACUAAAUAGAUGCAUCUGAGACCAUUAUAAGAAUGAAGAUGCUAGCUUAAUCAUGUGAGACUCUGAGCUACCAAAUCUGCUUUAUUUUCAGCCGACAGAGCUUCUGACCAAGUGCAAACAGUGACGCAUACCCCACAGAAGACAAACAUCCUAUUUCUUCAUAGACGGUUCCAGACUCAUCUAGACUCCUAACUCACAGAGAAAACAUGUGAUUGCAGUUUUGUUUCAUAUUUAAAAAAAAAACAGUUACUCACAAGCU